CUCAGGUCGAACGCUGGCGGCGUGCUUAACACAUGCAAGUCGAGCGAGAAGUUGCCGAAUGAACUUUCGAGUGAAUUUGGCAGUGGAAAACGGCGGACGGGUGAGUAACGCGUGGGCAAUCUGCCCCAAACUGCGGGAUAACACAGGGAAACCGGUGCUAAUACCGCAUGAAACCAUAAUGCAGCAUUGCAUAAUGGUCAAAGGGAUACCGGUUUGGGAUGAGCCCGCGUCCGAUUAGCUAGUGGGUGAGGUAACGGCCCACCCAGGCAACGAUCGGUAGCCGGACUGAGAGGUUGGCCGGCCACAUUGGGACUGAGACACGGCCCAGACUUCUACGGAAAGCAGCAGUGGGGGAUAUUGCACAAUGGGGGAAACCCUGAUGCAGCAACGUCGCGUGAAGGAAGAAGGCCUUCGGGUCGUAAACUUCUUUGAUUGGGGACGAAAAAUGACGGUACCCAGAAAACAAGCCACGGCUAACUACGUGCCAGCAGCCGCGGUAACACGUAGGUGGCAAGCGUUGUCCGGAAUUACUGGGUGUAAAGGGCGUGCAGGCGGGGAUGUAAGUCAGGUGUGAAAGACCACGGCUCAACUGUGGGGUUGCAUCUGAAACUAUAUUUCUUGAGUGCUGGAGAGGGAAGUGGAAUUCCUAGUGUAGCGGUGAAAUGCGUAGAUAUUAGGAGGAACACCAGUGGCGAAGGCGGCUUCCUGGACAGUAACUGACGCUGAGGCGCGAAAGCGUGGGGAGCGAACAGGAUUAGAUACCCUGGUAGUCCACGCUGUAAACGAUGGAUACUAGGUGUAGGAGGUAUCGACCCCUUCUGUGCCGGAGUAAACGCAUUAAGUAUCCCACCUGGGGAGCACGACCGCAAGGUUGAAACUCAAAAGAAUUGACGGGGGCCCGCACAAGCAGUGGAGUAUGUGGUUUAAUUCGAAGCAACGCGAAGAACCUUACCAGGGCUUGACAUCCUCUGGCGACUCUAGAGAUAGAGUUUUCCUUCGGGACAGAGAGACAGGUGGUGCAUGGUUGUCGUCAGCUCGUGUCGUGAGAUGUUGGGUUAAGUCCCGCAACGAGCGCAACCCUUAUCGUUAGUUGCCAGCAUUAAGUUGGGAACUCUAGCGAGACUGCCGGUGACAAAUCGGAGGAAGGUGGGGAUGACGUCAAAUCAUCAUGCCCCUUAUGUCCUGGGCCACACACGUACUACAAUGGCUGCUACAGAGGGAAGCGAAACCGCGAGGCGGAGCAAAUCCUAAAAAGCAGUCCCAGUUCGGAUUGCAGGCUGCAAUUCGCCUGCAUGAAGUCGGAAUUGCUAGUAAUGGCAGGUCAGCAUACUGCCGUGAAUACGUUCCCGGGCCUUGUACACACCGCCCGUCACACCAUGAGAGUCAGCAACGCCCGAAGUCAACUGUCCAACCCGUAAGGGGA
RNAcentral lists this ribosomal RNA (1423 nucleotides) under uncultured organism. RNAcentral describes it as "bacterial SSU rRNA". It matches the Rfam family "Bacterial small subunit ribosomal RNA". The record is from RNAcentral.